AACCUCCCCGCUCAAGUAGUCUGUGUCUGUUUCCUUCUUUGUGUUCAUAAGUUCUUAGCAUUUAGCUCCCACUUAUAAGUGAGAACAUGCAGCAUUUGGUUUUCUGUUCCUGUGUUAGUUCUCUAAGGAGGGUAGUCUUCAGCUAAAUCCAUGUAAGAACUUUCUUAAGUAAGUGAUCUUACUCAGGAAUCCUCUGCUCCUUUUCUCCAUAUAGACCUGGACAUUUUCAUUUUCCCUGCUUCAGGCUUUGAGUUCCUAAAUAAACUCUACAUGUUUAAUUUC
RNAcentral lists this long non-coding RNA (282 nucleotides) under Homo sapiens (human). Its description in RNAcentral is "HSALNT0326732". Lineage: Eukaryota; Metazoa; Chordata; Mammalia; Primates; Hominidae. The record is from RNAcentral.